Molecule: unclassified non-coding RNA, 3136 nt
Filed under: Leishmania donovani
Lineage: Eukaryota; Euglenozoa; Kinetoplastea; Trypanosomatida; Trypanosomatidae
Description: gene:LdHU3.06.1220(CDS-product:hypothetical_prote in_conserved)
Source: RNAcentral
CGUAGCAAAAAGAGAGCGAGAGAGCACAUUCCAGGAGCAAUGACGACGGCAGCGCCACCGUUCCACGCCCCACGCCCUCCUCUGACGGCCCGCAGCGACCCGAACAGCACCGCCGUCUCGCGCGGCGGUACUGCUGCCGUGGCGGCAAUGCCAGAGACGCAGGUGCGCCGUCGGCUUGCAGAGGUAGAGACGCGGCUGCGUGACAUGGAAGAGGAGGCGAGGCGCACCCGCGUGCUGCAGGAGCAAGAGAUCGCAAAUCUCGAGCAUGACAACGUGAAGCUGCGCGAGCGGCUCGAGGCAAUCCGCAUGGAGGAGUGCAUGUCGCUGGCUGAAGCGCGUGCGCUUCAGGGCCACACCAGCUAUCAGCUCACCGGCGGUGCGCCGGCUUCUCAUGCAGAGUCGAAGCUUCUUGGGUCGACCACUAUCAAGUAUCAGAAUGCCAAGGCCGAAGUUCAAAGGCGGCGACGCGAGUGCGCCCAGGCAGAGCGCCAGCUCGCGGAGGCGCGGACCCGACUUGCUGAUGUGCGGAAAGCUCGCAAGGAACUGAAGGGACGGAGCCUCGCGGCAGAGAUGUCGGCUUCGAUGCGCGUCGCGGCGGCUGACAACUAUAGGACGCUCAUCCACGAGCGGCUCCGCGGCUUAGAAGAGCAGGUGGCACGUGAGCAGGAGCGCUUCAACAGUAUUGCGACGGAGGCGAAGCAAGCACGCAUCGAGAUUGACGCGCUGCUAGUGAGCCAGACGAGCAACGAAAAGAUGUACCGCCACUGGUACGAUGCGCUGUUGGCGAAGCGUCGCGAGAUGGCGUUCUUGAUGGAGGUGUGCAACCUCCUGUGCGAGGAGCGCCAGCAAGUCGUUGCCGAGCUCACGGAGGUUCAGGCGCGCAUGGCAGAGCAGAGUCAUCAGUACGAGGCUGCCUUCGACGAGCUGACGGGGGUGCAAGACGAGAACGCCAAGACGCAGGCUGCAAACUGCGAGCAGCUGGAAGAGCUGCGUCGACUCAUCGCGCAGACCCGGACAGAGCGGGAGGCGCUGGAGGAGGAGAACAGAUGCACCAAGACCGCCAUGGAGCGUCAACGUCGUCGCACCGUUGGCCACCGCCUCAAAGAGGAGGCGAACACCACGACCACCAGCGCGGCAAGCCGAGGCAGCAGCGCCAUUGAUGGGGAGUGUGGCAUCGUGGCCGCCGGUGAGGCCGAACGUGUCGGCGACGAUGGCGGUGCAGAGCUGCGGACUCCAGAGAGCGAGUCGUCGCUCGACGGCAACCAGCAGCAGAUCCGCAUGUUCGAUGACUACUACCGGAAGCUCUCCGCCAUUGUACAGAGCGACGCCAUCGAGGACGUGGCCGGGUUCAUGGAUGCAGCUGCCGACGAGCGGUACAAGGUCUUUGACGAGAUGAACGCCAUCGAGCGCAACAUGGUGGCGCUCGAGACGGAGAAGGCCGCGCUGGUGGCGCAGCUCAGUAGGGUUGGCGGUAUUCGCCCAGCCACCGUCCCGAAGUCGGCGCAGCAGCCGUUCACACCCACCGCGCUCGCAACGCUCGCUGGUGCUGACACGCUCGAGGACCUUACCGCGGUCACAACCGCCGUGGCAGCCGGGAAGAGCAGCGGCACGGGCGCACUUGGCGCGUCGACCGACGGCACGCAAGAGCGCUGUAAUCGCAUGGCAGACCUCCUCGACGAUUUGGGUGCUACGCGCGACCUUGUUUUUGAGCAGCAGGAGGAACAGGAGACGAGCGCGGCGGUGUUGGAGCAGGUGGUCGCGCAGGUGAAUCAAGUGUUUCGCGGACUCGGCUGCAGCGUGGACGAGCUUCGCGCCCUCACGGGGAUGGAAGGGGUACAGCAGACCACCCUGCUGCAGUGCCUCGCCAUGGUUGAGCAGCGCGCCAGUGAGUACCUGAUAGCGUACUCGCGUCGACAGCGGAAGCGAUCUUCGCAAGCGACGGGGGCGAGGGCGUCGCCCCCCUCCCGCGACGCAGCACGCACAAUCCUUCGUCGACCCGACUUGCUACCGAAGACACAGAAAAAUGCGGUGGAGGCCACCGUGAUGCAACAAGCGCUGCCUCGCUCGACGGACGUGACGACAAGGAUGCCCACCGUCGCCGCGCUUGCCAUCGGCGGCAGUUUGACCUUAGAUGACCUUGUCGAGGAACGUCCCUUGUCGACGACGGAGCUGAAGGAGGUGGUAGAGGCGAGGCGCAUCCUGGCACAGCCGUGAGCGCUUCCCCAUUCCCCACCUCUGCUUCCUCUACCUCCGCCGACCCGUGCUUGCGCUAGAGCUGAUGUAAAGACACUCAUUGCACCCACAUGCCCGUUGCUGCUGUGCCGUCUCGCUCCCUUUUCGCCGCGCGCCCGCCUCUCCACUCAUUUUGCUGGACAGCUGCCCUCGUUGGCGAUGUCAGACAUGCCGCAGAGAUCCAAAAGACAGCCCAACACGAGAAGAGGCAAGGUGAGCGGCUGCGCGUGUGCUUACUUGUGCCAGUCUCUCGGCGAGCGGCGCGUGGGCGGGAGGAAACGUGUGAAGUGGAUCACCGACACUGAUAGACACCACCCUUUCUUAGCAGACGCAGGCCUUGCUGUUUUGAUUUUUGCGCAUGUUACGCUGAUCGGCAGCACGCGAGCACACACGCACACACAUGCGCGUGCGACCAUGUGCACGACUGCCUCAGUCGCUUCACAUCUUCACCCACCCCUGCGAUCGACGUGGCUAUGCCUUUCUCCUUCCGACUCCGUUCCGUGCAACACCAGCCAUGCAGACCGCUGGAGCCGCUUCGCCCUUGGCUGGUAAGCGAAGGGGAUGUGGCAAGGAGAGAGGUUGGAGAGCUCGCGCGCCCGCGGGUGGAGUGGGGUGGGGGAGGGCGUUCGCGCACAGCACGCGCAUCGAAAGAUGAAACACGUUAAAGUCGCAGAAGCAGCCCAUCGCGGUGCUCGCAGCUGCCACGUGCGCAUGUAAUGCCACCGUAUCUCUCCACCACUCAUCUCCCUCCAACCUGUAUUUCCUUUGCAUGUGCCUCGUCGCCCACGUCGCGUGCGACAACCACCACCCUGUCCACGCCCGCCACACCCCAUCAUCGCUCCAAUGACCACCACCGCGCCAACGAUUUCGUAACCGGAACUGAACGGGGCUCACGGCGCCACAG